CUUGGUCAUUUAGAGGAAGUACAAGUCGUAACAAGGUCAUCGUAGGUGAACCUGCGGUGGGAUCAUU
Molecule: ribosomal RNA, 67 nt
Filed under: Coemansia braziliensis
Lineage: Eukaryota; Fungi; Kickxellomycota; Kickxellomycetes; Kickxellales; Kickxellaceae
Description: partial 18S ribosomal RNA
Rfam family: Eukaryotic small subunit ribosomal RNA
Source: RNAcentral